AACGAACGCUGGCGGCAUGCCUAACACAUGCAAGUCGAACGAGACCUUCGGGUCUAGUGGCGCACGGGUGCGUAACGCGUGGGAACCUGCCCUUAGGUUCGGAAUAACUCCCCGAAAGGGGUGCUAAUACCGGAUAAUGUCUUCGGACCAAAGAUUUAUCGCCUUUGGAUGGGCCCGCGUUGGAUUAGCUAGUUGGUAGGGUAAAAGCCUACCAAGGCUACGAUCCAUAGCUGGUCUGAGAGGAUGAUCAGUCACACUGGGACUGAGACACGGCCCAGACUCCUACGGGAGGCAGCAGUGGGGAAUAUUGGACAAUGGGCGAAAGCCUGAUCCAGCAAUGCCGCGUGAGUGAUGAAGGCCUUAGGGUUGUAAAGCUCUUUUACCCGGGAUGAUAAUGACAGUACCGGGAGAAUAAGCUCCGGCUAACUCCGUG
RNAcentral lists this ribosomal RNA (433 nucleotides) under uncultured bacterium. Its description in RNAcentral is "partial 16S ribosomal RNA". It matches the Rfam family "Bacterial small subunit ribosomal RNA", at positions 29 to 507 of the family's 1533-position model. The record is from RNAcentral.